Pelobates cultripes (western spadefoot toad) is the source of this 208-nucleotide non-coding RNA. The record is from the annotation of a GenBank genome assembly. Lineage: Eukaryota; Metazoa; Chordata; Amphibia; Anura; Pelobatidae.
AUUUCUGAUCAGAACAGUUCCGCCUCAGUCUAGUAUACUGGCUCUUUGGAACCCCUGCGAGCCAUUUAGGGUGGUGUCCACUGUUAGACUGGAUGAAGCUGUUCGUGUCUGUGGGUUUAAAAAAUGUUUUAGUUCUAAUUUCUGAGCCUUCGAUAAAGAUCAUCAAAUCUAACAAAUCAAUGGUCGUUGGAUUAAAGACAGGUGUAAA